UACGUAGGUCCCGAGCAUUGUCCGGAUUUAUUGGGCGUAAAGCGAGCGCAGGUGGUUUAUUAAGUCUGGUGUAAAAGGCAGUGGCUCAACCAUUGUAUGCAUUGGAAACUGGUAGACUUGAGUGCAGGAGAGGAGAGUGGAAUUCCAUGUGUAGCGGUGAAAUGCGUAGAUAUAUGGAGGAACACCGGUGGCGAAAGCGGCUCUCUGGCCUGUAACUGACACUGAGGCUCGAAAGCGUGGGGAACAAACAGG
RNAcentral lists this ribosomal RNA (252 nucleotides) under uncultured bacterium. RNAcentral's name for it is "partial 16S ribosomal RNA". It matches the Rfam family "Bacterial small subunit ribosomal RNA", at positions 524 to 776 of the family's 1533-position model. The record is from RNAcentral.